CUGCAAUGUUGAGGCUGCUGAGUCACUCGUGUCUGUCAGUCCUGUACCUCUGGGUAUACUGGACACAAUGUAUCUGGAUCCCUUUGGCACAGGCUGUCUGACCACCAGCUUUCCUUUCCUGGUCUCUGCUAGAAACAGACUGUACCAGUAGGCAUCGUUGGACACCAGAGUGGAGUCUGCGAUGGUGGAGUUCCUCUCACUGAUCACACUGUUCCUGCAGGGAGGAGCCGCUUUGCUGGGCUUGGUUUUCUGACACUUGAGCACGAUGGUGACCAGUAUGGUGAUGAGCAGGAGAAAUGACACCGAGCCCAGACCGAUGACCAAGUACAGGUUCAGGUCAUUGAAGAUGUCGUACGCCAGAGGCACCUCAGUCAUGUCAGCGUAGGCCUUGACAGCAGUCUCCACUGUGGACAGCUUGAUGGUGACUGUAGCAGACAAAGCGGGCUGCCCGUUGUCCUUGGCAACAACAACCAGUCUCUGGUGGCGUGGGUCUCUGUAGCUGAACAUCCUCAUAGUCCGGAUCUCUCCGUUGUACUGGUCCAGACUGAACAAGGUGGCAUCAGUCACCUGCAGAAACUGGUAGGUGAUCCGAGAGUUGUGCACAGAGUCUGUGUCCAAGGCUAUCACCUUGGCAACCAGAGAGCCUUUAUCUGUGGACCUGGGGAUCUUUUCCUCCACCACUGAGCCGUGUGCUCGCCACGGAGACACAAUGACCGGAGCAUUAUCAUUCUGGUCCACAAUGAUGAUGUGGACUGUGACGUUACUGCUGAGAGGAGGAGAGCCAGAGUCUCUGGCCUCAAUGUGGAAAAGAAAGUCCUUCUCAAUCUCAUAGUCAAAAGUUUUGAGUGCGUAAAGAUUUCCGUUCUCUGGAUUGAUGGAGAACAGCAUGGACAUGGAGGUGUUGGCUAUCUCCUUCUCCAGGAUGAAAUAAACUAGAUACUGGUUUUCAUGGAGGUCAGGGUCAAAGGCAGUGAGGGAGCUGAGCAGGGCUCCAGGUGCGUUAUUCUCCAUCACACGGAUGGUAUAAAAUGACUGAGGGAACUGUGGGACAUUGUCGUUGACAUCCAGCAGCUCUAAGGUCAUAGUUUCAUUGUCAGAUAAAGGAGGAGAACCUCUGUCUGUCACAGUGAAGGUGAUGUCAUAUUCUGGAACCUUCUCACGGUCUAAGGGCUCUGACACCACUAACUCAUAAUAGUUAUCAGAGGACUCUCUCAGUUUGAAAGGCAUAUUAUCUGGAAUAUGAAGAUCAACCACUCCAUUAUCACCAGAGUCUUUAUCACUCACACUAACCACAGCUAUCACUGUGUCUAGUUCUAUGUUUUCAUUGACUGGACUCUGAAAUGAUUUAAUAGAUAUUUCUGGAUGGUUAUCAUUCAUGUCUUCUACCAGAAUCUUUAUGGUACACUGUCCUGACAAACUGUUGGCUCCUUUGUCAGUAGCUAUAAUCUCCAUAUCAUAAAUCCUGAAAUCCUCAUAAUUCAGCAUGCCUUUAACAGUGAUUUCACCAGUGGAGGGAUUCAGGUGAAAUGUUUCCUGUGUUUUCUCUGAAGUGUAUAAACUGUAAGAGUAAGUUACAUCAGAGUUAGAUCCCUCAUCUAGGUCUGUGGCGUUCAGGUGAAUGACAAUACUUCCUAUGGGAGAGUUUUCCAUUAUUUUUACAGUGUUAUUAGUUCUGUCAAAAGUAGGUGCGUUAUCAUUUGUGUCCAAAACAUGAACUAUUACACUUGCAGUACCAGAUCGAGCCGGUGUUCCUCCAUCUACAGCUGUAAGUAUUAAAUUAUGAACAGCCUCCUGCUCUCGAUCUAAAGCCUUAAUCAAAAUUAAAUCGGCAAAUUUCGACCCAUCUCUGCCAGUUUGCACUUCAAUGUCAAAAUAUUGACUGUAACUUAGACGGUAUGUUUUAACUGAAUUACCUCCUAUGUCAGGAUCGACCGCAUUGCUGAGGGAAAAUCGUUCUCCCUUUGGCGUAGAUUCAGAGAUAUCUAGAUGAAUGGCGUCUCUUCUAAAUUGAGGGGCGUUGUCGUUCAUAUCUAAUAUUUCUACUUCUAUGUUGAAAAUUCGAAGCGGAUUCUCGAGAAUAACUUCUAGUUUGAGAUAGCAAGUCGCUGACGUCUUGAAAGGGCAAAGGUGUUCUCUGUCUAUCUUUUCCACAACGUACAGCUCACCAGUCUCUUUGUUCACAUCCAGAUAUUUCUUAUUUGCGAUUAUGUCGAGCCGCAUCUUCCGCUGUUUCAGUGUUUUCACAUCCAAGCUCAGAUCGGCGGCAAGGUUUGCAACAAUUGAUCCUUCUUUCAUUUCCUCUGGUAUUGAAUAAUGAGUCACUGAGGAUGAUAUUAUUCCAACGAAAGUGAAAAGAACAGCGAACAGCACGUACCUCCUGUAGGGCUCCAUUGCUACAAAGCGUCCUAUUGUUGUGUGAACGUGCUGAACUCUGAACGAUUAAAAUCUAUUUUCUGGAAACAUCAGAAAUUACUGUGACCGCAACGAUCGUAUACAUGAUGCCACUGAACUACUCCCGAGCACACUCGUGCGUUAUUAAGGUAAAACGCAUAGUCCGGUUAGAGUUUCAGCACCACGGAGCUGUCCGAUCGUCUAAAGCACUGAUGAAAACCCACUCGUGUCAUGGCGUUUAGGGUCGGCAUUUAAUUUUGAAAACAGCGCCACCCUCCAAUUUUUAGAGAAAUAUUUGCACAAAGAGUGAAGAUUGAAUAAACAGAGGUUUAAAAUGUGUCACUACAUUGUUGUUUUUUUCUUUCCUAUAUAGAGGCAACGGCUGAAUAAUGUUGAAUACAGUCAUUCUCUCGACUUGCACAUUGGAAUUCAUGAAUGUAAAGAUAUUUAGAAUAAAAUAUUAAUUUAGACCCUAAAACUGGAGUAAAAAAACAGAAAAAUUAUGUUUUGUUUUUAAAUACAUCACUGGGUUCAAUCUAAUCAAGAACAGCUCAACACUGUGUUACUUUAGCCCGGUAUUAUGUUUGACGUAUUCACCCCAGUUGCUUGUUUAUUUUACAGGUUAUCAUACUAAAGGGGUGGGGUGAGUAAGAUGAAGCUAUUAUAUAGAGUUAAUGAACUCAGUAAAACACUUAAUUGUCAAGAUAAUGUUCGAAAUAUUCAUAUACUGUACUUAAAGUCAUGUACGGUGCAUAACUAUUUUAAUGACCUUUCAUAAAAAUCUAAAAACUAACUCUACCUUAUAAAAGCAUUCCCUUAAUCAUGACAGUAAAACUGUGCUUUUCAAAAACACUCUUUAAAACAGCAAAUGCAAAGUUGCUCUAAUAUCUGUCCUGUCUGUCUAACAAAUGCUAUAGAGGAGCACGGCUGGUCAUCUGUAAGUAUCAGAGUGGAGGGGUACAGACACCCUCAAGUUUAAAGCAAUAUGUUUGAGCCUGUCUGAGGAGGGAAAGAUACUAAAGAUCAUAUUCAAAAGUAAUGGAUAUGCAGGAUUCAAGUAUACUGAGGUUAUAUGUUAUAAUCUUAAAAUUGAAUUAGAUUUCUUCCCUUGGAAAGGAGAGCUGCACUUUCAUCCUUGAGCAAAUCUAGAGAAUAUCUGAUGGAUGUAUUGUUGAGUGUUGAUCACAGAAAGUCAGUGCUUCACUUAAGUCACAUUACAUCAGUCUGUUCACCAUCUAUCUCUUUUACCUGUUGUCUCUAUUAUGCUGUUUGCAUUAAAUAGACUAUGUUUAGUUUUCAUUCUCUAGUCUUUUGACCACCCAAAGCACUUUUACAUGACAUGUCAAAUUCAUCAAUUCACACCACAUUCACACACAAAUAGCGAAGGCUGCUCUGGCUCCCAUGCAUGAAAAUUGUUUAUUCUUCCCUUCUCUGAUUUUAACUUUGCCUUUUAAAUCUUAAAGAGAAAGGUGCUGGGUUUUUAGUGGUACAGGCAAAACAUUUACUGUUAACACUGCAGCUGUUUGCAUUUGAUUUCAAUUUCAGUUUUUAACUGUCACUGGGAGGAAUCAAACACAGGACCAGACAGAUAGGUUGAACUAUAACAACCCACCUCAAUUCAAAUAGCACAGAAAUUGGCCAUCAAGGUUGAAACAGCCUGAAGUAAAAUUAAGAUAAACAGCAUUUAAAAAAAUUGCAAGAAAAAUGUAAGUCAGACUUGUACCUGCAGAGUGGAGGCUGCUGAGUCACUAGUAUCUGUCAGUCCUGUACCUCUGGGUAUACUGGACACAAUGUAUCUGGAUCCCUUUGGCACAGGCUGUCUGACCACCAGCUUUCCUUUCCUGGUCUCUGCUAGAAACAGACUGUACCAGUAGGCAUCAUUGGACACCAGAGUGGAGUCUGCGAUGGUGGAGUUCCUCUCACUGAUCACACUGUUCCUGCAGGGAGGAGCCGCUUUGCUGGGCUUGGUUUUCUGACACUUGAGCACGAUGGUGACCAGUAUGGUGAUGAGCAGGAGAAAUGACACCAAGCCCAGACCGAUGACCAAGUACAGGUUCAGGUCAUUGAAGAUGUCGUACGCCAGAGGCACCUCAGUCAUGUCAGAGUAGGCCUUGACAGCAGUCUCCACUGUGGACAGCUUGAUGGUGACUGUAGCAGACAAAGCGGGCUGCCCGUUGUCCUUGGCAACAACAACCAGUCUCUGGUGGCGUGGGUCUCUGUAGCUGAACAUCCUCAUGGUCCGGAUCUCUCCGUUGUACUGGUCCAGACUGAACAAGGUGGCGUCGGUCACCUGCAGAAACUGGUAGGUGAUCCGAGAGUUGUGCACAGAGUCUGUGUCCAAGGCUAUCACCUUGGCAACCAGAGAGCCCUUAUCUGUGGACCUGGGGAUCUUUUCCUCCACCACUGAGCCAUGUGCUCGCCAUGGAGACACAAUGACCGGAGCGUUAUCAUUCUGGUCCACAAUGAUGAUGUGGACUGUGACGUUACUGCUGAGAGGAGGAGAGCCAGAGUCUCUGGCCUCAAUGUGGAAAAGAAAGUCCUUCUCAAUCUCAUAGUCAAAAGUUUUGAGUGCGUAAAGAUUUCCGUUCUCUGGAUUGAUGGAGAACAGCAUGGACAUGGAGGUGUUGGCUAUCUCCUUCUCCAGGAUGAAAUAAACUAGAUACUGGUUUUCAUGGAGGUCGGGGUCAAAGGCAGUGAGGGAGCUGAGCAGGGCUCCAGGUGCGUUAUUCUCCAUCACACGGAUGGUAUAAAAUGACUGAGGGAACUGUGGGACAUUGUCGUUGACAUCCAGCAGCUCUAAGGUCAUAGUUUCAUUGUCAGAUAAAGGAGGAGAACCUCUGUCUGUCACAGUGAAGGUGAUGUCAUAUUCUGGAACCUUCUCACGGUCUAAGGGCUCUGACACCACUAACUCAUAAUAGUUAUCAGAGGACUCUCUCAGUUUGAAAGGCAUAUUAUCUGGAAUAUGAAGAUCAACCACUCCAUUAUCACCAGAGUCUUUAUCACUCACACUAACCACAGCUAUCACUGUGUCUAGUUCUAUGUUUUCAUUGACUGGACUCUGAAAUGAUUUAAUAGAUAUUUCUGGAUGGUUAUCAUUCAUGUCUUCUACCAGAAUCUUUAUGCUACAUUGUCCUGACAAACUGUUGGCUCCUUUGUCAGUAGCUAUAACUUCCAUAUCAUAAAUCCUGAAAUCCUCAUAAUUCAGCAUGCCUUUAACAGUGAUUUCACCAGUGGAGGGAUUCAGGUGAAAUGUUUCCUGUGUUUUCUCUGAUGUGUAUAAACUGUAAGAGUAAGUUACAUCAGAGUUAGAUCCCUCAUCUAAGUCUGUGGCAUUCAGGUGAAUAACAAGACUGCCAAUAGGAGAAUUUUCCAUAAUCUUUAUAGUAGAACUUGCUCUGUCAAAAGUAGGUGCAUUAUCAUUGGUGUCUAAAACGCGAACUAUUACACUUGCAGUGCCUGAACGAGCCGGUGUUCCUCCAUCUACAGCUGUGAGUAUUAAAUUAUGAGUAGCAUGCUGCUCUCGAUCCAAUUUCUUUUUUAAGAUUAAUUCGGCAAAUUUCGACCCAUCUCGUCCAGUCUGUAUUUCAAUAUUAAAUUGCUCACUUUCACUUAGAUGAUAUGUUUUAACAGAAUUAAUUCCAACAUCGGGAUCAACUGCGUUGCUGAGAGAAAAUCUCUCUCCUACAGGCGUCGCUUCAGAAAUGUCUAGAUGAAUGACGUCUCUUCUGAACUGAGGGGCGUUGUCAUUUAUAUCUAAAAUUUCCACUUCUAUAUUGAAAAUUCGUACUGGAUUAUCAAGGAUUAUUUCCAGUUUGAGAUAGCAAGACACUGACGAUUUAGUGGUGCAAAUGUAUUCUCUGUCAAUUUUCUCGACAACGUACAGCUCACCAGUCUCUUUGUUCACAUCCAGAUAUUUCUUAUUUGCAAUGAUGUCGAGCCGCAUCCUCCGCUGGUUCAGUGUUUUAACGUCCAAGCUCAGAUCGGCGGCAAGGUUUGCAACAAUUGAUCCUUCUUUCAUUUCCUCUGGUAUUGAAUAAUGAGUCACUGAGGACGAUAUUUUCCCAACGAAAGUGAAAAGAACACCGAACAGCACGUACCUCCUGUAGGGCUCCAUUGCUACAAAGCGUCCCAUUGUUGUGUAGACGUACUGCACUCUGAACGAUUAAAAUCUAUUUUCUGGAAUUAUGUAAAUAUUACUGUAACCGCAUCGAUCGUGUACAUGAUGCCACUGAACUACUCCCGAGCACACUCGUGUAUUUUUAAGGAACAGCGAAUAGUCCGGUUAGAGUUUCAGCACCACGGAGCUGUCCGAUCGUCUGAAGCACUUAUGAAAACCCACUCGUGUCAUGGCGUUUAGGGGUCGGCACUUAAUUUUGAAAACAGCGCCACCCUCCAAUUUUUAGAGAAAUAUCUGCACAAUAAGUGGGGAUUAAAUACACAGGGGUUAAAGUGUGUCACUAUGUUGUUUUUCCCAAUAUAGAUGCCAAGGCUACGUUUUAAAUUCUUUCACUCUGUUGAUUUACACAUAGGAAUUAAUGAAUGUUUAGAUAUUAUACAUAAAAUAUCAAUUUAUACCCUAAAACUCGGGAGUAAAACACAAACAAACAAUGUGUUGUUUUUAGCCCACCACUGCGUUAAGUCCAAUCAGGACCAGCCUAACACUGGGCUUCUCUACCACAACAAGAUGUGCGACAAAUUCACAGAGAUGCAUGUUUUUCAUACACAAAUAGCAGAGGCUGCUUUGGCUUACAUUUGUGGAAAUUCUUUGUACUUUCCAUCUCUUAUUUUACCUCAGUACUGUCCUCUUUGAGCUUUUAAAGGCAUAGUUUUCAGCGGUACAGGCAAAAAAAAAUUGACUGUUAACCCUGCAGCUGUGUACUUUUGAAUUCUCUCUCAAUUUUUAUAGUCAAAAAGGAGAAUCAAACACGUGACCAGGCAGAUGGGUUAAACUACAACAAUCCACUUCCACUCAGAUUGCACAAAAAUUAGCUACAAGGUUGAAACACCAUAAAGUCAAAUUAACAUAACUGGCAUAUCAGAGUUUACAAAAGCAAAGUAAGUUAGACUUGUACCUGCAAUGUUGAAGCUGCUGAGUCACUAGUAUCUGUCAGUCCUGUACCUCUGGGUAUACUGGACACAAUGUAUCUGGAUCCCUUUGGCACAGGCUGUCUGACCACCAGCUUUCCUUUCCUGGUCUCUGCUAGAAACAGACUGUACCAGUAGGCAUCAUUGGACACCAGAGUGGAGUCUGCGAUGGUGGAGUUCCUCUCACUGAUCACACUGUUCCUGCAGGGAGGAGCCGCUUUGCUGGGCUUGGUUUUCUGACACUUGAGCACGAUGGUGACCAGUAUGGUGAUGAGCAGGAGAAAUGACACCGAGCCCAGACCGAUGACCAAGUACAGGUUCAGGUCAUUGAAGAUGUCGUACGCCAGAGGCACCUCAGUCAUGUCAGAGUAGGCCUUGACAGCAGUCUCCACUGUGGACAGCUUGAUGGUGACUGUAGCAGACAAAGCGGGCUGCCCGUUGUCCUUGGCAACCACAACCAGUCUCUGGUGGCGUGGGUCUCUGUAGCUGAACAUCCUCAUGGUCCGGAUCUCUCCGUUGUACUGGUCCAGACUGAACAAGGUGGCGUCAGUCACCUGCAGAAACUGGUAGGUGAUCCGAGAGUUGUGCACAGAGUCUGUGUCCAAGGCUAUCACCUUGGCAACCAGAGAGCCUUUAUCUGUGGACCUGGGGAUCUUUUCCUCCACCACUGAGCCAUGUGCUCUCCAUGGAGACACAAUGACCGGAGCGUUAUCAUUCUGGUCCACAAUGAUGAUGUGGACUGUGACGUUACUGCUGAGAGGAGGAGAGCCAGAGUCUCUGGCCUCAAUGUGGAAAAGAAAGUCCUUCUCAAUCUCAUAGUCAAAAGUUUUGAGUGCGUAAAGAUUUCCGUUCUCUGGAUUGAUGGAGAACAGCAUGGACAUGGAGGUGUUGGCUAUCUCCUUCUCCAGGAUGAAAUAAACUAGAUACUGGUUUUCAUGGAGGUCAGGGUCAAAGGCAGUGAGGGAGCUGAGCAGGGCUCCAGGUGCGUUAUUCUCCAUCACACGGAUGGUAUAAAAUGACUGAGGGAACUGUGGGACAUUGUCGUUGACAUCCAGCAGCUCUAAGGUCAUAGUUUCAUUGUCAGAUAAAGGAGGAGAACCUCUGUCUGUCACAGUGAAGGUGAUGUCAUAUUCUGGAACCUUCUCACGGUCUAAGGGCUCUGACACCACUAACUCAUAAUAGUUAUCAGAGGACUCUCUCAGUUUGAAAGGCAUAUUAUCUGGAAUAUGAAGAUCAACCACUCCAUUAUCACCAGAGUCUUUAUCACUCACACUUACCACAGCUAUCACUGUGUCUAGUUCUAUGUUUUCAUUGACUGGACUCUGAAAUGAUUUAAUAGAUAUUUCUGGGUGGUUAUCAUUCAUGUCUUCUACCAGAAUCUUUAUGGUACACUGUCCUGAUAAACUGUUGGCUCCUUUGUCAGUAGCUAUAACUUCCAUAUCAUAAAUCCUGAAAUCCUCAUAAUUCAGCAUGCCUUUAACAGUGAUUUCACCAGUGGAGGGAUUCAGGUGAAAUGUUUCCUGUGUUUUCUCUGAUGUGUAUAAACUGUAAGAGUAAGUUACAUCAGAGUUAGAUCCCUCAUCUAAGUCUGUGGCAUUCAGAUGAAUAACAAGACUCCCUAUGGGAGAGUUUUCCAUUAUUUUAAUGUUAUAAUUUACUUUGCUAAACACAGGAGGGUUAUCAUUUGUGUCUGAAACAUGAACUAUCACACUUGCAGUACCAGAUCGAGCCGGUGUGCCUCCAUCUACAGCUGUGAGAAUCAAAUUAUGAACAGCAUUGUGCUCCCGGUCUAGGGCCUUUGUCAAAAUCAGUUCAGCAAAUUUCGUCCCCUCUCUUCCAGUCUGCACCUCAAUACUAAAAUGUUCACUUUCACUGAGAAGAUACGUUUUUACCGAGUUUGUUCCGACAUCAGGAUCAGCUGCAUUACUCAGAGAGAAUCUCUCUCCUACAGGCGUAGCUUCAGAGAUAUCCAGAUGAAUGGCGUCUCUUCUGAACUGUGGGGCGUUGUCGUUUAUGUCCAGAAUUUCUAAUUCUGUAUUAAAUAUCCUUAAUGGGUUUUCGAGUAUUACCUCCAUUCUAAGAUAGCAAGACGACUUUGCAGGACAGAUGUGCUCUCUAUCUAUCUUCUCAACAAUGUACAAUUCCCCAGUCUCUUUGUUCACGUCCAGAUAUUUCUUAUUUGCAAUGAUGUCGACUCGCAUCUUUCGCUGCGCCAGUGUCUUGACAUCAAUAUUUAGAUCGCCGGCAAUGUUUGCAACAACUGAUCCCUCUUUCAUUUCUUCGGGUAUUGAAUAAUGAGUCACCGAGGACGAUAUUUCACUGAUGAAAGAUGCGACAUGAAGGAGCAGCACGUACCUUAUGAAUGUCUCCAUUGUUACUAAGCGUCCCAUUGUUGUGUCCGCAUGUACUGAACGUUAACCCCGGUAAUAUAAAUUCCCACUGAUAAGGAGAAUUGUUGUAACUUCUUCGAUCCGAUACAUAUUUUUCAAGAAUUCCGAGAGUACUUAAGCAUUGAAGCAAAAAACAAGAACACGUCUCUUGACUGGAGUUUCAGCACCACGAAGCUGUCCGCCUUUUUCACCAUCUGUGCUG
Molecule: long non-coding RNA, 10068 nt
Filed under: Xyrichtys novacula (pearly razorfish)
Lineage: Eukaryota; Metazoa; Chordata; Actinopteri; Labriformes; Labridae
Source: RNAcentral